UACGUAGGGGGCAAGCGUUGUCCGGAUUUAUUGGGCGUAAAGAGCGUGUAGGCGGCCUGACAGGUCUGCUGUGAAAGCUCGAGGCUCAACCUCGAGAUGUCGGCGGAAACCGUCUGGCUAGAGUCCGGAAGAGGAGAGUGGAAUUCCUGGUGUAGCGGUGAAAUGCGCAGAUAUCAGGAAGAACACCUAUGGCGAAGGCAGCUCUCUGGGACGGUACUGACGCUGAGACGCGAAAGCGUGGGGAGCGAACAGG
Molecule: ribosomal RNA, 253 nt
Filed under: uncultured bacterium
Lineage: Bacteria
Description: partial 16S ribosomal RNA
Rfam family: Bacterial small subunit ribosomal RNA
Source: RNAcentral